UCUAAGCUGCUCUCACCAUUUUGGAGUGAUUUAAUAGUAUUCCAAAUGUAACUUUAAAUCAGAAAGGCUACUUCUGACUUAGAGGCUUGUCUGGGAGCCCACUGCAUGCAUAUUAAACAAAUUCUGCUGAAGGUCAUAGAUGAUAAAACUAAAAGGACAAUAUGAGAAGAAUAAGGAUCAAACCAAAUCAAAAUAGUUGUAUCUUUGUAAGCAGGCAUGUUCUGUGGUGCACUUUAGAGCUCUGGAAAUAGGCAUGAGCCUUGGUUUCCUCCUGACCUUGUAGGGGCUGCAACCGUUCCACUGUAGUCUGAAGAGAAACCAGAGGGUGAGAAGCAUAAGAAGCACUCCUGUGUGUACCUCAUAUAGGGCAACCAAGGCAUUACGACUGCAAGAAGACCCCAGGAAUGAAGACUGCAGAGCACACCUGCUUCAGAGGUAAUGCUCUGGAUGUGGUCUGCUUCAGGCAUGUGUAUUGGCUGUUUGGCAUGAGAUUGCUAAGGAAGCACAAGUUGGCACUGAUGCUGAAAGGCAGCACCCUGCUCUCACCUUGCCAUGGGCAGAUUAUUCUUCAGCCUCUGUCUACCAAUUUCUUACACCAUACAAAGAACAAGAGUGAGGAAAUGGCUUGACUUAAACAACUAACCCAGAAAAGAAACAAAACUUAACCUGGAGCAGCUUAUCCAUCUGACGGAGUGGAAGCACGGAACAGCACCAGCCACAGGCUCAGUGGCAGUGCUGGCAUCUGCUUAUCCAAAGUGAGUGUACAUCACUCACUCCAGAGGCAGCAGAAUGCGUACCUCCCUAUUUCCUUCCCUUGGAACUGCAUCUAAAUCUUCUAAAUGGGAGCUGAGUAAUUCAAAAAAAGUAACUUUCUGAGUCUGCAAACCAGGAAACGAUGAAGAAACAUGAACUGUCUUGAGUCACUGUAGUGAUGGACUACACUGCAUUGUUUGAAACCCAACAGUACUGCUACUACUGAUAGUUCACAUGAACUGUUUCAGAACCGAUCUGCAAAUUUCUCUCAAUCCAAUGCACCAGUCAGAUAACUGAAUGUACACAAAGUUUUUCUUGAUAACUUUUCUUGAUAUUUUCCUUGAUAAAAAGCAUGACAAUAACAUAAUGUGAAGUCUGAGAACCACAGGAAGUUACAUAACUCUGCCAGCAAAUUUUGAGGAAGGGAGAAGGUGGAGCAACAGGGAAAUUGGAAGAUAAAGAUCCCUGCUAUUCUGUAAAUGCGUCUGUAGAAAAGAAAAAAAAAAUCCUCGAAAAGUAUGAUAUUCCUCUCCUUUUAAGUUCUCUCCCACCCUAUAACCAUUUCUUAAUACUACACCUGUUCUUUACCAAUGCCUCUUCAGAACAAAUCACCUCCUCCUGCUCUCCAGACACCCCUGUCCCUCCUGCAGCCUGUUCCCCUCAUGGGGAUCUCCUGUCUGCAUCCUCCCAGGCUCCCUGUGAGCUCCCAUCCCCACAAUGUUCCACCCAGCUCUAGUGUGUCUCCUUUUCUCUCCCUCUGAACCACCUACAGGCAACCACAGUCCUCCCUGACUUUCUCAAGUCCCCAUGUCUCCUCUACCCCUGAGCUCCUCUCCCACACGAUCCCACUGGGUUGGAGUACCCAUAGGGUGCUCCAAGGUGGUGAUGCAAAAUAGCCGGGCCUGCCCAGGUAACCUCACAGUUUCCUUACCUGCACACUCCAUUGCCUUUCCUCCUUUUGAAGGUAAGACAAGCUGAAAAGUGCAGAAAGAAGGUAGGAAGCAGAUGUAACUGCCCCACAGAGUUAAGCUUAGUACAUGUCCUCACAUCCUGAAACACAAACCAACAGAGUAUAGCCAUGUUCUUGGCAAAUCUUUCUGUAAACCUCCUAUUUUUGUCAAAAGAAGUGUGACAGGGAGAUUAAAAAAAAUAGUGAAUAAAAUUACCUCUGCUGCAAAGACUCA
This is a long non-coding RNA of Numida meleagris (helmeted guineafowl), 1937 nucleotides long. Lineage: Eukaryota; Metazoa; Chordata; Aves; Galliformes; Numididae. The record is from Ensembl.